Peromyscus eremicus (cactus mouse) is the source of this 1738-nucleotide long non-coding RNA. RefSeq lists it as uncharacterized. The record is from RefSeq and is a predicted model, not a curated record. The transcript has 5 exons. NCBI's taxonomy places the organism in Eukaryota, Metazoa, Chordata, Mammalia, Rodentia, Cricetidae.
CCCAACCCCAAAGCACACAAAAAGAUAGCUCUCACCCCCACCUCUAGGAGAAACCUGGGUCUGCCUGGGAAUCUUCCCCUGAGAAUCCUCCUCUCUAAUGCUCAGCCAUGCCAUGCUUAUGCAUGUACCACCCUCGGCACCCGGAACCGAAGGCCCACAGGGCAGUGAGGCUGGCAUAUCCAGUAUCCAGACAAGGAUAGACAGUGGACACCUAUUCUUUCUACUUAACCCCUCUCUCCUCAAGCGCUCCAGUCCUUCGCCUAUAGCCAAAGCUAUCCUAAGACUCCUCAACGGAAGUGAUAGGGCUGUGUUGGGACCUUGGCCUUCUGCACUUUCCCAGAAAUGAGGGACACCUGCUACCUUUAGCAAACCUCCAGGCUGUGGGAACUGAAAGGAGGAGGGAGCCAUUCCUGACACCCUCCAUCUGUACCCUCACCAUUACUCAUUAGGCAUUCUGCCCCCUCCUUCCGCUCGUUAAGCCUUAUUUGCAUAUAUUUGCAUAAUACAGUUCAUUUGCAUUGCAGGAGGCUCAUGGUAGAAGCCAGGAAAAAAGAGGUGGGGGGGGGGUGGAGAAGAGAAAAAGGGAGAGAUUUUGUUUUCAUCAAAGUGUGGGGGGAGAGCUGGGGGGGAGGUGGCAGGAAGAGGCUAGAAAUAAAAACUCAUACUACUUUCUUUCUUCCCUCUUGCCCUCCCUCCCUGGGUUGGACUCAGAUGCCAAAGAGAGAUGCCAAGGGGCUGACUUUUCUGUCCUUUUUUUCUCUUGCUUCCUCUGGCCUUGGCUCCUCCGUCGGGGCCCCCCACCUUGUCGGAAUCAGGCUUCAGAAAGAAAGCCCGGUAGGACGCGAGGCUGUGGGAAUGGAAACAUAGGAAGAGGGAGGCCGCCAUCUUAGGUAGCUGGUGUUUAUAAAAUGGCCGCCUCUGAGCGACGUGGGCUGAGAGCCAAGCCUGGGCGGUGGACACGAAGGAGAACACCGCCACAGGGAAGGAUUUCCUGGCUGACCAGGAAUAGACCUGAACAUUACUAUCAGUGAAAUUAAAAAGGGAGAUAAAGAGGCAGGGAGAGGUGGGGAGGGGGUGUUCCCAGAACUAUGAGGUUCAGCAUCGAAGCAGGAUGACGGAGAAGAAUCAUCACUGGGUACAGAUCCCAGAGGACUCAAGACUGUGGGUGAUGUCAAAGGCCUCUGGGUCAGCCAGCUCCACACUGAGGUGUCAGCGCCUGGUGUCUCCCUUGUGGUCACUUCGGUCAUUUCAACCAUCUGUUGAAGUCGGCAAGCUCUUUGGAUGCCUCGUUCGUGCCAGGCUGGAAGAGACUCCCACGGCCCUGUAGAAUCUAGCAGGAAAGCAGACACAACUCACCUCCGGCCAGCGGUUGCCCUGCGAGAAGCCCAGUGGCUUCCUGGAGGACACCGAUAGAGCAGUAAAGCAAGGCCCUCUCCUUGUUCUCCAGAGCAGCAUGAGCCAGGCACUGUGGAAUCUCUGCUCAGGGAAAUGUAUGAGGACCUGUAAGCCCUGGUCCACAGCCUUCCAGCCUGAUUCUCUGGUCCUGGGCACGGUCAGCAGCCAAAGAAGACCUGACCUCACCCUGCGCUCCCCUUCGAGGCGAAGUGUGUUCCCAGACUAAGAAAGGGCUAGCUCCGGCAAGCAGAAAUGGACAGAGGCAGAGGUGCCGCCUGACAGCUUCUCCCCAGAGCCAUGGAAUGAGGGCCUUGCUUACCCGGUCACUUCCAGCAAGCUGUCC